AUCUAAAAGACGUAGCACGCGGAAGACCGUCCAUUCCAUUGUACUACGCUUCUAAUUUCAUUGAAAACAAAUGCAUAAUACAUUCACACACAAAUACAUAUAUUCGAUAGUGCACUCUUCUGAAUUCCUAAUAAGCCAUAUCUCCGACAAUAAUAUCAUACUAGCUGCCAUCGCAAGUACUCCCAUCCAAACAUCAUUUCGUUCCGCUACUGGUUGCAACUCUCGAAGACGAGUCUCGAUGAUGCAGUGCGUGCACCUCUCCUUCCAAGCCUACCUUAAGUUUCAUCUCCCCUCCGUUGCACUAAACAACAAGCUACAUCGCAACUACUUGAAAUACUGAUACGGGUGUUGGGCUGAUGGCCCAUAUUCAGCCCAUGUGGGCUUUAUCAACCCACAGCCCACACCCCCUCUUAACCUAACCCUAAUUAAGAUUAG
Molecule: long non-coding RNA, 435 nt
Filed under: Musa acuminata (dwarf banana)
Lineage: Eukaryota; Viridiplantae; Streptophyta; Magnoliopsida; Zingiberales; Musaceae
Description: long non-coding RNA (MACU_LNC005678)
Source: RNAcentral